This 276-nucleotide ribosomal RNA is filed under the name uncultured prokaryote. RNAcentral describes it as "partial 16S ribosomal RNA". It matches the Rfam family "Bacterial small subunit ribosomal RNA", at positions 524 to 801 of the family's 1533-position model. The record is from RNAcentral.
UACGUAGGGGCGAGCGUUGUCCGGAUUUACUGGGCGUAAAGGGUGCGUAGGUGGUUUCUUAAGUCAGAGGUGAAAGGCUACGGCUCAACCGUAGUAAGCCUUUGAAACUGGGAAACUUGAGUGCAGGAGAGGAGAGUGGAAUUCCUAGUGUAGCGGUGAAAUGCGUAGAUAUUAGGAGGAACACCAGUUGCGAAGGCGGCUCUCUGGACUGUAACUGACACUGAGGCACGAAAGCGUGGGGAGCAAACAGGAUUAGAUACCCAGGUAGUCCCUGAG